GAGGAAUUCUGGGGUGGAGUUUUGUGUAUGGAUACAAUUUGCCUGACAAUGAGCCUGCAAAGAAGCAGUUUUUUGGCUACUUGCAAGGGGAAGCAGAAUCUACACUGGAGAAGCUUCAUCACUGUGUGGAAAUUGAGAUACUGUCGUUUCUCAAUGUUAAUAAUCCAUUAGAGAAUUUCGAUGAUUACAGAAAUAAGUUAAUUAAACUGACUUUUGUGACAGGAAAUUACUUUGAGAAGCUGGUUAAAGCAUUAGAAAAUGAUCUACCUGGAGUCCAUGAGUCUAGCAGCGGCGGCAGCAGCAGCAGCAGCAGCUCUAAGUAUCAAUCAGAAGAUGAAUAUUGGAUUUGUGCUAGAUGUUCCCAUGCCAAUCCCUACUCUGUCAACAAAUGCAAAGGGUGUCCGGCUGAUGCUAA
This 415-nucleotide long non-coding RNA is filed under the name Manihot esculenta (cassava). Its description in RNAcentral is "long non-coding RNA (MESC_LNC003031)". The record is from RNAcentral. Lineage: Eukaryota; Viridiplantae; Streptophyta; Magnoliopsida; Malpighiales; Euphorbiaceae.